RNAcentral lists this ribosomal RNA (374 nucleotides) under uncultured bacterium. RNAcentral's name for it is "bacterial SSU rRNA". It matches the Rfam family "Bacterial small subunit ribosomal RNA", at positions 525 to 896 of the family's 1533-position model. The record is from RNAcentral.
ACGGAGGGUGCGAGCGUUGUUCGGAAUUACUGGGCGUAAAGGGCGCGUAGGCGGCACUGUAAGUCAGAUGUGAAAGUCCAGGGCUUAACCCUGGAAGUGCAUCUGAUACUGCAGAGCUUGAGUAUCGGAGGGGAAAGUAGAAUUCCCGGUGUAGAGGUGAAAUUCGUAGAUAUCGGGAGGAAUACCGGUGGCGAAGGCGACUUUCUGGACGAAUACUGACGCUGAUGCGCGAAAGCGUGGGGAGCAAACAGGAUUAGAUACCCUGGUAGUCCACAGCUGUAAACGAUGUACACUAGAUGUAGGGGGUGUUGACCCCUCCUGUGUCGCAGCUAACGCAUUAAGUGUACCGCCUGGGGAGUACGGUCGCAAGAUUA